This 310-nucleotide long non-coding RNA is filed under the name Coffea arabica (coffee). Its description in RNAcentral is "long non-coding RNA (CARA_LNC004643)". The record is from RNAcentral. Lineage: Eukaryota; Viridiplantae; Streptophyta; Magnoliopsida; Gentianales; Rubiaceae.
CCAGAGGACACAACAGGGAAGCCAAAAAGAAAAAAAGAAAAUCUCCAUCCUUCUCGGCUCUCUCCCUCACAGAACAAAAAGAAGAAAACACUCCCUCACUUUGCACACGGCUCACUCUCUCCCUCUCUCGGACCUGGGCAGAGGAAAGAAACAGAAAACACACAAGAAGAAGAAGAAAAAUCCCCCUCAAUCUCUCGGUUCUCCUUUCUCUUUCCCCUCUCAAUCUCACACACACCUACAUUGAGGUAAUUUUAGUUUUGUUUAGCACAUUAAGGCCAUGCUUCAUUGUUUAAUUUUCUUUUGCUUUUGC